GAUGUUGAACAGAAAGUGUACGAGGGCAAUCUGGAGAAACCAUAAAUUCACUUCAUUAGCAUGGAGUGUCUCCUGGACUGGCCAUGGCUGCCAAGAUGGCCGUGGUGGUGGUGCCGAUGUUGGAACCGAGAGACAACGGAUAGGCUCUCUGUAUGCUGAUGACGCCAAUACCUACAGGUAUGUGCGUAAAGAAGGCCCAUGAGAUAUUUCUCUAGUCUAAUCAAUCACUUCAGAUGAAUGUGCUCCAACUGUAUUUUCGUCUUGAUUGUUGGGGGUUUGUUUCAAAUUGAUAAGACCAAUAUAUUAAUACAGAGAAUAUGUUUUUCAGUGCAAAAGUUAGUCUGCAUGGAUCAGCAAUAUACUGUAUGCAUGGUGGGUAGAUGGACGAUUAGGCAGUUAGUUGGAUCGGUGAAGGGUGAGAUGACCAGGUGAUUGAUGUAUGGAUGGUAUGAUUAUAUUUUGAUCAUGAGGAUGGAUGGCUAAGUGGUACGACAACAUCAACUGUGCGAAGGUUGAACGGAUGCAUGGAAGGAUGAACCAGUGGACGGAAAGAAGGAUAGCGGCUUGUACCGUAUUGGCCCG
Hippocampus comes (tiger tail seahorse) is the source of this 582-nucleotide long non-coding RNA. RefSeq lists it as uncharacterized. The transcript has 2 exons. The record is from RefSeq and is a predicted model, not a curated record. NCBI's taxonomy places the organism in Eukaryota, Metazoa, Chordata, Actinopteri, Syngnathiformes, Syngnathidae.